RNAcentral lists this long non-coding RNA (433 nucleotides) under Setaria viridis. RNAcentral describes it as "long non-coding RNA (SVIR_LNC000179)". The record is from RNAcentral. Lineage: Eukaryota; Viridiplantae; Streptophyta; Magnoliopsida; Poales; Poaceae.
GACUAAAAUGACUUUAGUCCCGGGUCAAAAAUGUGCCACCGAAGGCCACCGCGGGGGGAGGGGGGGCGAGUUUUAGUUCCGGUUGCAAAUAACAGCCGAGACUAAAGCCCCCCUUAGUCCCAGUUGUAAUGGCUCCAAAAAAUCCCACCGACGCUCCCCUUUUAUCCCGGACGCUCCCCCUCUUGUCCCAGUUAGAAUUUCCAACCGGGACAAGGGGGUCUUUUGUCCCGGUUGGUAAUUCCAACUGGGACUAGGGAGCCUUUAGUCCCAGUUGGAAACACCAAUGGGACAAAAUGGCGCUCGUCCCGCAGGCGCCUCUCUCCUCUCCACCCGAAGCAGAGCUGCCACCUUAUCCUCUCGACUCUCCUCUCCACCAUCCAAAGCUUCCUCUCCUCCUCUCUCCUCUCCAUCCGAAGAGAGCUGCCCCUUCCCU